RNAcentral lists this ribosomal RNA (478 nucleotides) under uncultured bacterium. Its description in RNAcentral is "bacterial SSU rRNA". It matches the Rfam family "Bacterial small subunit ribosomal RNA", at positions 1 to 507 of the family's 1533-position model. The record is from RNAcentral.
GUGACGAGUUUGAUCAUGGCUCAGGAUGAACGCUAGGUCGGCGUGCCUAACACAUGCAAGUCGAGCGAUUCUCUUCGGAGAAGAGCGGCGGACGGGUGAGUAACGCGUGGGUAACCUGCCCUGUACACACGGAUAACAUACCGAAAGGUAUGCUAAUACGAGAUAAUAUACUUUUAUCACAUGGUAGAAGUAUCAAAGCUUUUGCGGUACAGGAUGGACCCGCGUCUGAUUCGCUAGUUGGUAAGGUAACGGCUUACCAAGGCGACGAUCAGUAGCCGACCUGAGAGGGUGAUCGGCCACAUUGGAACUGAGACACGGUCCAAACUCCUACGGGAGGCAGCAGUGGGGAAUAUUGCACAAUGGGCGAAAGCCUGAUGCAGCAACGCCGCGUGAGUGAUGAAGGCCUUCGGGUCGUAAAGCUCUGUCCUCAAGGAAGAUAAUGACGGUACUUGAGGAGGAAGCCCCGGCUAACUACGUG